This 474-nucleotide ribosomal RNA is filed under the name uncultured bacterium. Its description in RNAcentral is "bacterial SSU rRNA". It matches the Rfam family "Bacterial small subunit ribosomal RNA", at positions 329 to 795 of the family's 1533-position model. The record is from RNAcentral.
GACCAGACUCCUACGGGAGGCAGCAGUAGGGAAUCUUCCACAAUGGGCGCAAGCCUGAUGGAGCAACACCGCGUGAGUGAAGAAGGGUUUCGGCUCGUAAAGCUCUGUUCUUGGAGAAAAACGUGCGUGCGAGUAACUGUUCACGCAGUGACGGUAUCCAACCAGAAAGUCACGGCUAACUACGUGCCAGCAGCCGCCGCAAUACGUAGGUGGCAAGCGUUAUCCGGAUUUUUUGGGCGUAAAGCGAGCGCAGGCGGUUGCUUAGGUCUGAUGUGAAAGCCUUCGGCGUAACCGAAGAAGUGCAUCGGAAACCGGGCGACUUGAGUGCAGAAGAGGACAGUGGAACUCCAUGUGUAGCGGUGGAAUGCGUAGAUAUAUGGAAGAACGCCAGUGGCGAAGGCGGCUGUCUGGUCUGCAACUGACGCUGAGGCUCGAAAGCAUGGGUAGCGAACAGGAUUAGAUACCCUAGUACUC